UGGCACAAUGGUUAAGCACUCAGCUGCUAACUGAAAGGUCGGUGGUUCAAAUCCACC
Molecule: transfer RNA, 57 nt
Filed under: Loxodonta africana (African savanna elephant)
Lineage: Eukaryota; Metazoa; Chordata; Mammalia; Proboscidea; Elephantidae
Rfam family: tRNA
About the family: Transfer RNA (tRNA) molecules are approximately 80 nucleotides in length.
Source: Rfam by way of RNAcentral